AUGGAGUCGGUAUGCUCUCACAUGGUAGAAUGGAGCAGCGUGCAUCAACCAAAGCCGAGGCAAGAAAGGACGGACCAGCCACAAAAAUGGGAAGCACCUGAAGAUGGAUGGGUUAAGAUCAAUUCUGAUGAUGCGGUUAAUAAAGGAGGGAGUAAGGCUAGUGGUGGAGCGGUGCUUCGGGACCAUAAUGGGGCAUUUCUGGCCGGAGUGUGCCAUCAUUUUCCACACAUUGUGGAGCCUGAAACAGCGGGGAUUUUGGCUUGCAAAAGAGCUUUACAGGUAGCUGAGGAGAUCAAUGUACAGAAUGUCCAUUUGGAGUUGGACU
This 325-nucleotide ribosomal RNA is filed under the name Triticum aestivum (bread wheat). RNAcentral's name for it is "partial small subunit ribosomal RNA". Lineage: Eukaryota; Viridiplantae; Streptophyta; Magnoliopsida; Poales; Poaceae. The record is from RNAcentral.